RNAcentral lists this ribosomal RNA (249 nucleotides) under uncultured prokaryote. RNAcentral describes it as "partial 16S ribosomal RNA". It matches the Rfam family "Bacterial small subunit ribosomal RNA", at positions 524 to 772 of the family's 1533-position model. The record is from RNAcentral.
UACGGAGGAUGCAAGCGUUAUCCGGAUUCAUUGGGUUUAAAGGGUGCGCAGGCGGAGAGAUAAGUCAGUGGUGAAAAACUGCCGCUCAACGGUAGUCUUGCCAUUGAUACUGUCUUUCUUGAGUAUGGAUGAGGUAGGCGGAAUGUGCAGUGUAGCGGUGAAAUACAUAGAUAUUGCACGGAACACCAAUUGCGAAGGCAGCUUACUGGACCAUUACUGACGCUCAGGCACGAAAGCGUGGGGAUCAAA